CUACAAAGGAAUUGACGGGGCCGCACAAGCGGUGGAGCAUGUGGUUAAUUCGACGCAACGCGAAGAACCUUACCAGGGCUUGACAUCCCCUGACCGCGUAUGAAAGUACGUUUUCACCUCGGGUGACAGGGAGACAGGUGGUGCAUGGUUGUCGUCAGCUCGUGUCGUGAGAUGUUGGGUUAAGUCCCGCAACGAGCGCAACCCCUACGUUUAGUUGCUAACGCGUGAAGGCGAGCACUCUAGACGAACUGCCGUUGACAAAACGGAGGAAGGUGGGAUGACGUCAAAUCAUCAUGCCCCUUAUGUUCUGGGCUACACACGUGCUACAAUGGCCGGUACAGACGGACGCAAAGCCGCGAGGUGGAGCAAAUCCUAAAAAGCCGGUCUCAGUUCGGAUUGCAGGCUGCAAUUCGCCUGCAUGAAGUCGGAAUCGCUAGUAAUCGCAGGUCAGCAUACUGCGGUGAAUACGUUCCCGGGCCUU
RNAcentral lists this ribosomal RNA (481 nucleotides) under uncultured Pelotomaculum sp. Its description in RNAcentral is "bacterial SSU rRNA". It matches the Rfam family "Bacterial small subunit ribosomal RNA", at positions 903 to 1382 of the family's 1533-position model. Lineage: Bacteria; Bacillati; Bacillota; Clostridia; Eubacteriales; Desulfotomaculaceae. The record is from RNAcentral.